GUGGCUGAGUACGCAAAUUUUUACGCAGAUGUGACUGAGUUUGUAAAAUAUUUUCCAGUGAUGCCUAGAAAUUCUUCUACUUCAAUAGAAAGUUCUGCGAGAAGGUGGCUUGAUUCCACUGUUGCUGUUGGAAGUGGAAACUUGUCAAGGACAGCCUUCCAAUUGAGUGCACUGCUGGUCUUUACUCCCUGCAGCCUCCCUGGGAAGAACUUUCUGAAAAUGAUAGCAUGGAACAAGGAUAAUUACGGCUUGCUGUGUGCUGGAGAUAAUGGUGAUUCUGAUAUGUUAAUGCCUUUCUGUGUGAAACAGUAUCAAGCAAAUGAAUGGAACUCAUCAGCUUGGCUUGCUCCUGAAGGUAACGGAUUUUUUUUUGUGAAUUGUUUGCUAGUGCAUGUCAUAAUAAAAUGUACAAUGACAUUCACUCUAAUACUAGAAUGUUAUAGUUGUUUCCAAAAAGCAUAAUAAUAGCUCUGAAAUCUCUCUUUUUUAUUUAUUUUUUUUAUUUUAUUCUUUAUCUUUUUGGCCUGAUGACACAACAUUUUUGAAGAGAUAUCUGAUGGAUGAGUAAAGUAGAUUUUGGAACCGUGUUUUAAAAUGAGUCAAUAAGUAAUAGAAUUAUUUGAGUUGGAAGGGGUACUAAGAGGUCAUUUAGUCAAAUUCCCCUGCAAUGAACAGGGACACCUGCAGCUAUAUCAGGUUGCUCAGGGCCCCCUCCAGCCUGACCUCAAUUGUCUCCAGAGAUGGGACAUCUACCACCUCUCUGGUCAACUUGUUCCAAACCUCAGCACCCUUAUUGUAAUAAUCUUUUUCCUUAUAUCCAGUCUAAAUCUUCCCUCUUUUAGUUCAAAACCAUUUCCCUUUGUUCUCUACAAACGGACCCUGCUAAAGUAUCAUCAUAUCAUCAUAGUAUCAUAAUCUCGUGCGGGUUGGAAGGGACCUUAGAGAUCAUCGAGUCCAACCCCUGGGAUUCGAGCCUCUGUGUGUUGCAAAGGGGCAUUCCUACCACUGCGCCACUGGGGCACACAAAUUGUCUGUCCCUUUCUCUUUUGUAACCCCCGUAAGAUACUGAAAGGUUGUUAUCAGGUCUCCCCAGAGCAUUCUCUUCUCCAGGCUGAACAGCCCCAUCUCUGUCUGAGUGUCCUUGUAGAGAAGAUAUUCCAUCUCUUGGAUCUUUGGGCCUCCUCUAGAUGUCAUUGCUGGAAGAUAUUAAAUAGCAUCAUUUCCAGAUGCCUGAGGAAUAGCACCGAUCUUAACCCAGACACUUAGUAAUUUACCAC
This 1277-nucleotide long non-coding RNA is filed under the name Coturnix japonica (Japanese quail). RNAcentral describes it as "lncRNA (ENSCJPG00005009172.1)". Lineage: Eukaryota; Metazoa; Chordata; Aves; Galliformes; Phasianidae. The record is from RNAcentral.